CAAAAUUUGGAGCUUGUGUGUAUUCCAAUGAUUGUUGUCUGCUCCAAUAAAAGAGAUGUAUAAAUGAACAUACUUCUUGGCAGUAUCUUCUCCAGACCAUUGAUUUCUGCCCUUCCCUAACACCCCAUCCUUCUUGAACUUCACAGACAUGGAAAAUGAAUCAAG
This 165-nucleotide long non-coding RNA is filed under the name Cricetulus griseus (Chinese hamster). Its description in RNAcentral is "lncRNA (ENSCGRG00000026528.1)". The record is from RNAcentral. Lineage: Eukaryota; Metazoa; Chordata; Mammalia; Rodentia; Cricetidae.